This 497-nucleotide ribosomal RNA is filed under the name uncultured bacterium. RNAcentral's name for it is "partial 16S ribosomal RNA". It matches the Rfam family "Bacterial small subunit ribosomal RNA", at positions 28 to 507 of the family's 1533-position model. The record is from RNAcentral.
GAUGAACGCUGGGGGCGUGCCUAAUACAUGCAAGUCGAGCGAACAGACGAGGAGCUUUCUCCUUCGACGUUAGCGGCGGACGGGUGAGUAACACGUAGGUAACCUACCUAUAAGACUGGGAUAACUUCGGGAAACCGGAGCUAAUACCGGAUAAUAUUUCGAACCGCAUGGUUCGAUAGUGAAAGAUGGCUUUGCUAUCACUUAUAGAUGGACCUGCGCCGUAUUAGCUAGUUGGUAAGGUAACGGCUUACCAAGGCAACGAUACGUAGCCGACCUGAGAGGGUGAUCGGCCACACUGGAACUGAGACACGGUCCAGACUCCUACGGGAGGCAGCAGUAGGGAAUCUUCCGCAAUGGGCGAAAGCCUGACGGAGCAACGCCGCGUGAGUGAUGAAGGUCUUCGGAUCGUAAAACUCUGUUAUUAGGGAAGAACAAACGUGUAAGUAACUGUGCACGUCUUGACGGUACCUAAUCAGAAAGCCACGGCUAACUACGUG